AUUGAACGCUGGCGGCAGGCCUAACACAUGCAAGUCGAGCGAGUGGCGGACGGGUGAGUAAUGUCUGGGAAACUGCCCGAUGGAGGGGGAUAACUACUGGAAACGGUAGCUAAUACCGCAUACCAUCGGAUGUGCCCAGAUGGGAUUAGCUAGUAGGUGGGGUAACGGCUCACCUAGGCGACGAUCCCUAGCUGGUCUGAGAGGAUGACCAGCCACACUGGAACUGAGACACGGUCCAGACUCCUACGGGAGGCAGCAGUGGGGAAUAUUGCACAAUGGGCGCAAGCCUGAUGCAGCCAUGCCGCGUGUAUGAAGAAGGCCUUCGGGUUGUAAAGUUCUUUUAGCGGGGAGGCGUUACCCAAAGAAAAAGCACCGGCUAACUCCGUGCCAGCAGCCGCGGUAAUAC
RNAcentral lists this ribosomal RNA (406 nucleotides) under uncultured bacterium. RNAcentral's name for it is "partial 16S ribosomal RNA". It matches the Rfam family "Bacterial small subunit ribosomal RNA", at positions 30 to 526 of the family's 1533-position model. The record is from RNAcentral.